Molecule: ribosomal RNA, 493 nt
Filed under: uncultured bacterium
Lineage: Bacteria
Description: partial 16S ribosomal RNA
Rfam family: Bacterial small subunit ribosomal RNA
Source: RNAcentral
GACGAACGCUGGCGGCGUGCUUAACACAUGCAAGUCGAACGGUGAAGGGACCGGUUUUUGCUGGUUCUGGAUGAGUGGCGAACGGGUGAGUAACACGUGAGUAACCUGCCCCCUUCUUCUGGAUAACCGCAUGAAAGUGUGGCUAAUACGGGAUAUUCUGCGCCUGCUGCAUGGUGGGUGUGGGAAAGAUAUUGUUUCGGUGGGGGAUGGGCUCGCGGCCUAUCAGCUUGUUGGUGGGGUGAUGGCCUACCAAGGCGGUGACGGGUAGCCGGCCUGAGAGGGUGGACGGUCACACUGGGACUGAGACACGGCCCAGACUCCUACGGGAGGCAGCAGUGGGGAAUAUUGCACAAUGGGCGCAAGCCUGAUGCAGCGACGCCGCGUGAGGGAUGGAGGCCUGCGGGUUGUAAACCUCUUUCGCCAGUGAAGCAGGCCUGUCCCUUGUGUGGGUGGGUUGACGGUAGCUGGAUAAGAAGCGCCGGCUAACUACGUG